This 301-nucleotide ribosomal RNA is filed under the name uncultured bacterium. Its description in RNAcentral is "partial 16S ribosomal RNA". It matches the Rfam family "Bacterial small subunit ribosomal RNA", at positions 509 to 807 of the family's 1533-position model. The record is from RNAcentral.
CAGUCGCCGCGGUAAUACGGAGGGGGCUAGCGUUGUUCGGAAUUACUGGGCGUAAAGCGCACGUAGGCGGCUUGGUAAGUUAGAGGUGAAAGCCCGGAGCUCAACUCCGGAAUUGCCUUUAAGACUGCCGAGCUAGUAGGUGAGAGAGGUAAGUGGAAUUCCGAGUGUAGAGGUGAAAUUCGUAGAUAUUCGGAAGAACACCAGUGGCGAAGGCGGCUUACUGGCUCAUUCUAGACGCUGAGGUGCGAAAGCGUGGGGAGCAAACAGGAUUAGAGACCCCCGUAGUCCCUGUCUCUUAUAC